UCUGAUUUCGCACUUAGCUGUGACGGCUAGUGACUCCCCUCCCUCAAGUCGACGAUGGCGGCUGAGUAUUGGUGGCGUGAGCAGCGGCAGCGGUGAUAAGUGGCGUCGUGAGCAGCAGCGACGAGCGAGCUACGUAGAUCUGCGACGACGAGGGCUACCGACGGCUUCAGAUCUGCGACGUAGACUUUUGGGUGACGAUUUCAUAUUUUCCUGAGCUUUCGGCGGCGGUGUGUUUCCGGUGACGUACUACAGCGGCGACGAGCUCCGGUGACGAUGGUGUAGAUAUGUUUUGUUCUGAACUUCCGACGGCAGCAGCAGCGUGGCGAGUUUCCUUCUUCCUACGGCGAAGGUCCUAGCUGACGGUGGCGACAUCGACAGCUCCGGCGGCAUAGUGACAUCAACAGCAGAUGACUACUGGCAAAAGAUGCUGCUAGAGUUCAGAACAAAUGGCUUCUUGUAAACCUUCAUUCUACAAGGGAGUUCAGUUCACAUAUGGUUAGUGUUUUCUUCUUCCCAAUGUACCCUAGAAACAUCAUGUAUCCUCAACUACUGUUAUGAACCAUUCCCCAGAUGCUUGGGAUCACAUGCAGUUCAAAGAUAUUGUUGUCGAAGUUGCCAAUGUGGAGCUGUACAUAUUACAAGGCUGUCCACAUCUAUUUGCAAGAACAUCCUUGAUUUGAUUAAUGUUCUUGCACUAAAGGUGGACCACACACGGGUGGUGGACAUCCUGAGAAAGGUAAAAGGCUUCCCCAUUUGUUCACCUUCCUUGUUAGCUUUUACUCAUUCGACAAUUAUUUAGUCUAUAUAUGGUUGCUGUUCAGAGCAACUGUGUUUCUGCAGUUAAUGAGGCUCUUAAUGAGAUAUAUGUUGAAGAGGAAAACUAUAUAUGAUAGACUGUGUGAAUCUACUGAAUUACAUGACAACUUUGAUCAAAUUAGCUAAUUUGCUUUCUGUUAAUAUGGGAUCUUUGCUUCAACCUCUCCGUUUUCAAGAUAUCCAGGUAAUUUACAAUAUAAUAAUUUACACAGUUUUAUAGUAUAUAAAAUCAAGAAAUAAACUUUUUUUUUCUCUUUAAGAACUUUUUGAAAGGUCAACAAAUAAAAAGGACAUGCAUAUAAACAUUGAUGUUUUUUACUACAAUAAUAUACACACACAUGUAUGUGUGUGUAUUGUAGAUCUGUAGUAAAUAUCAUAAUGUGAAUUAUCUGCACCAAUGUUUUUACUGGAUGACCUCCCCUUUCAUGUCCUUUAAUGUCAAAAAAGUUCUCAUAAUACUUUUAUGAAUCCGUAAAAUUUAAUUUAAUUUAUUAUCUUCAUAAAUAGUUGCCUACUAGCUUCUGGUUUAUGAGGAUCCCAUAGGUAGAAGUGAAAAGAUCUUCUUGAGGAAAUAGAUGAGUUAUGGAACUUAUGGAUUAUAUUAAGUAUGUUGAAUUAUAUUUAUUGUG
This is a long non-coding RNA of Ipomoea triloba (trilobed morning glory), 1445 nucleotides long. RefSeq lists it as uncharacterized. NCBI's taxonomy places the organism in Eukaryota, Viridiplantae, Streptophyta, Magnoliopsida, Solanales, Convolvulaceae. The transcript is spliced from 3 exons. The record is from RefSeq and is a predicted model, not a curated record.